Molecule: non-coding RNA, 7420 nt
Organism: Oryctolagus cuniculus (rabbit)
Lineage: Eukaryota; Metazoa; Chordata; Mammalia; Lagomorpha; Leporidae
Source: RefSeq, a predicted model, not a curated record
GACAAGGUCGUGUUUUUGCAGGGAACGUGUGCUAUGCUCUGAUGUGGUCACACACUCAGGCAUUGUCGCCCAGGGUGAGGUCCUCCCACAGUGCUGGGGGGAGCCUCUGGCUGCCUGUAAGGCCUAAGCAGGGCACUGGGAGAUGUGGUGAUGACAACAGAGCAUGCAGGCACAGGCACCCUGUGUGGCGGAGGAUGCAGGAGACAAGGCGCAGGUGGGAGACGUGCCGUUGGGCAGGAGAGCCGGGCGGCACCCACAGGGCACAGAGGGUUCACGGGCUGCGUCUGCCUGCUCCCUGCUGGGGGCCCCAGGAGGAAAACACUGCAGAGGCGGGGUCAGCUGGAGACCCAACCCCGCGCGUUCCUGUUUGGUGUGGAUGCUGCGUUUGCAGCCAGCGGGAUCAGCACGGGGGUGGAGCAGAGGCUGGUGCUUCGCCGUCCUGGGCCGGGUACAGGCGGAGCGCCAGGCCUCAUCUCGGGGUGCUGGUGGUUGGCUCAGUCAGCAGCCAGGGCCUGCGGGGUGUGAGAGCUCAGAGCCACAGAUGGCUCCUGGAUGCACGCCACACGUGCCUGGCGGCCAGCGCUGCGCUGAGAGCUGCUCCCGACAGAAGUGUUCAAGGGAAGGCUGACAUGCGAUCAGUGUAGUGGUGUUUAUGUGAGUGGCAGAUGCACAGCCCAGGGCGCCAGUGUCGUCCUGACUGCCCCGCCCCACCGCGGUCGGGGUACCCAGAGAGGAGAAAGCGGCUGCGAACCCAGACAGGCGCGUGCCGACUAUAUGCAUGCGCUGUCAGUUGGCGGCCUCUGAUUGGCCGACACUCAGUUCUCUGUUGCCAGGAGACACUCUAGAGUUAGUCUGCACACUAAGUUAGGUUGCAGUUCGCGGUAGCCAAAGGCCAAGACUGGUGGAACUGUACCCUCCAAGUAUGGGAACAGACGUAGGACAAACUUAUCAACGUCGCAAUCAGGCACUGACGUCAGAGAGGGGACGAGGGGGAGCAUUUGGAAGGAGAAAGGGGGUUUCCCUUCCAGGCCCCUCUGCGCUUCAUGCAGCAGCUGUUUCUUCUGUGUCGGUCCACUCCAGCCUAUGAGAGAGCAAGCAAGGGCCACCUUCCCAGGGACUUCUGACGGGUUCCCUCCUUGGAACCCCGUGCCCUCCACCAGGCUUCCCUGACCCGGGCUGCGGCAGAGCCGGGAGGGCUGGCAGGGAGGAGAGCUGGAAUUUCUGCCAGCCUCGCGUUGUAACUUCUCUCUCGGCCCUCAGCCUGGGCCGGCACCGUGAACUCCCCAGAGAGCUUCACGCGUGCCAAGACUCCACCCUGUCUUGCUUACUCAGUGAAGGCACCACCCCUACCUGACAGAAGGGGGCGGGGCCUUCAUUUGCACUUGACCGCACGUGGGGGUCUUUUCAGAUCCCCUCGCAUCUCUCCACAGGCAGCUCCGAGGCCCACUCGGGACGGUUAUCUCUCCACGCUCACGUGCGAAUGCGUGGUCAUCGUCUCUCUCUUAAAUACAGCCUGCUCUCACUUAGGCACUACACUUGAUGCCUCUGCUUGGAAUUCUUAUCUCUGUGCAGCAGCUGGACCUGGAACUGGGAGCCAAAGCUGGGGUCCAGGAACUCAGUCCCAGUUCUCACAGAGGCGGUAGGAACCCAUCGACACUGCUGGAAUCAGGAGCCGGAGCUGAGAAUGGAAACCAGGCGCUCCGAGGCAGAGAGCUGGAUUGGAAGUGGGACAGCUGGGACACCAUCCAGUGCCCAUAUGGGAUGCUGGCAUCGCAGGGAAAUGUUCGUUUGGUGUAUUCAGAGCUGAGAACUAUGCUAAACACUAGAAACACAAUUGUAAAUAAUAAAGAAAAAUCCCACCAGCGUCCAAACUUCAUGCUUCAGACAUUCCAGUCAUGGGAACAAAGAAUAAUCAAGCAGGUAAAUACCCACUAAUUUAAAAGAAUUCUGAUCUAUCAUCUAUCUAUCUAUCUAUCUACCUACCUACCUACCUACCUUCAUCUCUAAUCUAUCAAUCUACCUAUCGAGUUGUCAUAUCUAUUUCUAUCAUCUAUCAUUCAUCAAUCUAUUUACCUAUCAUCUCUGAAUCUGCCAUUCCAUCAUCUAUCUGUAUCUAUUUACAUAUCAAUCAUCAAUCAAUCAAUCAAUCAAUCUCCUGUUUUUCUUUUUCUGGAGAACACUAAUAUGGAUAUCAAUAUUUUUAUGUAAUUUUAAUACAGUUUUGUUAUUAAACAAAAUAAUCUUGGACUUCCCAUCCCCAUCUAUAUGCUUCUGUCAUGUAAUUUAAUCUAUUCUCACUUAUAAUAAUUUUUGAUAAAUUUGGUCUCAUUCAUGACAUUUUCCUAGAUGUUUUUUAUGAAUCAUUCUUUAGUUUUCAACAUUGCUUUGCCUUUCUGCUGGGUUUUGUAUUGGGGCAUGUUUUUGUUAUUUAAAAGAUAUUUCUUUAAAAGGCAGAAUGACAGACAGAGGGAGAAACAUGGAGAAAGUAUGCGUGGCGGGGUGGGGGGGUUCUCCGUCUACUUUGUUGACUCUCCAAAUGGCUGAAAUGACCCAGGCGAGGCCAGGCUGAAGCCAGGAUCCUGGAACUUCAUUUGGGUCACCAAAGUGUUUGGGGGCAUCCUCAGGUGCCUUGAGCCAAGGAGAAAGCCAGUCAAGGUCAAGGUGAGUGCAGUUGGCAUCCACUGCAUCCUAUUCUAUUUCAGGUGCAACAAGCAUUCUAGCAGUUUAUUAAUAGAGUUUUUUUUAAUGACUCAGAGUGAAUUCUGGCCCGCCAUGAGAGCCUGCUCUGUGGGAGAGCCUAGCAUAGCCUGCCUUUCUGGAUUGCUGGUCACACAAUUGGACCAUUCACCCUGUUCCGGGCACUCCUGUACUUACUUCCUCCUCUCAGGAUUAAACAAUCCAUUUCUCAGGGCUUUGGUUUUAUGUGCCGUUGAUCUACGAUUCCAUUUCUCUAACUUCUUUCCCACAGUCAAUAGCUUUUUACUACCUGUGACCAAAAACAGCCAACAGCCGGCCAAGGCAGAGUUAAUUUAUUUAGAACAAAGAAACCCAUCUAUGAUGUGACUGGGGGGACAAGUGUUCAACCUGCUUGCUUAGGAAGGCUGUGUGGCCCGGGCAGCUGUUGGACGUUCUGUUCGCUUUUCAGCGAGUUGUUUUUGCCUUCUGUUUCUUAUUACACUGUGGAUCUCUUUACCACACUGACAAUUAAGGAGCCACAUUUCUUCUGCUGGAGUCCACGUGUCUGAAGGCCAUAGGUGGGCACGUGCACAAAUGCCCGUGGAAAAUGGCUUUUUCUGGAAUAUCAGGUUUGGUCCUCAGAGGCCGGAGCACUCCAUGUGGUGAACCACGCGUUUGAAUUCGGCUGUGUUUAAUUAAGGUAAUUUUCCUACUUAGCUCCAGAUGUGGAGAUGAGAUUCAAUUUUUAUUGUGUCUCAAGGAAGAUGUCCCUCCAAGCACGUGUGUCACCGGAAUGGAAUGCAGCCACAGAUCCGCAUGGGACGAGGCUCUGUCUCCUGCAGGAGAUGAGUUCUCCUCGCCUUCUUCCACUCCUGAAUUUUUCCUUUGUUGGAUGUGGUUUGUAAGGUGAAGGAGGGUCCUUAUAUAGCUGGCGGAGGGCAGGUGGUGCGCAGAGAGAAGGUGGUGGAGAGAAAAGAUUCCUGGUGGUGUGUUCUUGCCUCAUACAGCAUCUGUGAACAAAGGUUUUGAUUACCCAGGAAGGUAAAGGCCAAGGAUCCACACUCCUCCCCAGCUCUUUUACAAAGUCGUUAAAUGUUAAGGGGGUGGCCUACAUCUCCUUGCAAGUCUGUGACAGUUAACUUGAUUGGUCAACUUGACCGCCCGAGCGAAGGGAUACCCAGAUAGCAGGUCAAACGUGACUUUCCAGGUGUGUCUGGAAGGAUGUUUCUGGAAGAGACUAGAAUCUGAAUCCACGGACUGAGUGUGAAACAUCCACGCUCACCAAUGCAAGUGGGCCUCGUCCAGUCCACGGAUAUGGCGGAGGAACGGUGAGUUUGCUCCCUCUCCCUCUUUGUGCACCAUUGACUCCACCUCCCUCCCACUGAGGGCCUCAGCACCUUUGACUCUAGGGCCUGCAGGUGUGGACUGGGUCACCCCACUGGCUUUCCUGGGCCUCUGCUGGCAGAUGGCGGACAGUGGGGCUUCUCGGCCUGCAGGAUCCCGAGUCCCUCUGUAAAUCUCUCUGCGUCUCAUUGCUUUUGCGUCUCUGCAAGAUGCUGACUCAUUCACAGGUCCCCAAGAGACGCUGAAAACAGCAACGUCAUCACCAAGUCACAUUGAAAGAGACCUGAUAGCCACGUCACAUGCAUCUGAAUUCCUUCUACAGUGUCCUUGUCAGAGGCGGCCCUACCCCGGGCUUGAAUACGUCCAGGGCAAGGCAGUGCGUCCUGCCCAAAGGCAGGCUCAUUUCACUGCUGGAGGAAUCAAGCUGUGGAAUCAUCCCGCUCACGUUCUCUUGACAAAUUUCUUUCUCUGUGUCUUUCUGCCUUUAGUCCCGCUUCACUUUCUUAGAGCAACCCAAAAUGAGCAGAAGGAUUCCUUCGUAAGGCCACCCAGUGCCCCCCGGGCUGCAGCAUCCACACAGACGCACACCCUUGACCCCGGGAAGACUGCAGUUGAGUGGAGCCUGGGAGAAAACCACAGACAGACCCCCACGGUUAAGGUCACAUCUGCUUCUGCUAUUUUUUAGUGGCUGGUGGAGCACUGGCCCAAAGGAGGAACCCUAGAUGUCUUUGGAAACCCGAGUAGGCACAAUAGCUACGACUGAUGUCCUGUGGUUAUUCUUCUGUCCCCACGUCAAAUCUGGGUCUCUGUUUUUCUCCGGCGAAAGCCUGCACCACCUGCCAGGGUGACCCCAGCUCCAGCUCCCUGCUCUCCCACCUGCCGUGGCUCCCAAGUCUUGCAAGGAUUCCAGCUGCACCCUGGUGGCGUGUCUGGGCGUUGUCUGCUGAGGCCUCCAUGCUCUGUGACCGCAUUCCCAGUCUAGAUGGAGAUCCCAGGAGCCUCUGAACGUUGAACACUUGCACGUGCAUCUCACCACCAUGGAGUUGGUGUGCUCUGGCAGGAAAACUUUAGAGGAAAGCUGUGUCCUUCCCGAUGUGUCAACACAAGGGAAGCCAUACUGUCUGGUCAUCUCACGUUUAAUGCUGUCUACACUGAUGGACCCCGCCUGCUCGUCACGGCCUUGCUCUGCGUUGUCGAGUUCUGCAUCCGUGGAUUCGACCAACUGCGGGUGGGAAACACAUGCGAGCAACUUGCAUCGGCACUGAACACGUGCAGGUGUUUUCAUGCUAGGAUUCCCUACACAGCACAGCACAGCUACGCACAGCGUUUGUGUGGUCAGGUAUUCUGCGUCACCCAGAGACGGAUGGAAGCAAGUGUGCAGGCCGUACGUACGUACGUGCUACGCAUGGUGCAUUUGUGGAUUUUAGAAUCUGAAGGGGCUUCCAGGAUCCGAUUCUCCAUGGAUACCGAGGAGUGGCCAUAAUGGCUGAGCUCGGAAGGCCCACUGCUGCCAACAUCCCUGUCCCUAUGUCACCUGUUCCUCUGCUGCCUGUCUUGGAGGGACCCAGGCCUGGCCCUGCUGCUCCGCCAUGAUCAUAUUGCACUUCAGAGAAGCCUCAGCUUGGGCGUUCGGGGCAUCCACACGGCGUCACCACCACCACCACCAUCGUCCGAAGGCCCCCAAAGGCCCCACGUGGGAGAGUCGUGUGCGAGCCACACGUGAGCGUGGUGGAGGAGCUCUCCCUCGCCUGGCCCGGCGGGUGGGGCCGGCCCGGGCUUUUGUUUGCUGCAGGAAGGCGGCUGUGAGCGGGCCUCGGUGUAACCUGGCUCUCCCUCUCUGUCGAGGGAGAUUUUCACCCGAUGAAUCACGCCUCCCAUGCUUGCUGGAGCCAGAGAUCUUUGGCUCCCAGGCUGUUUACUGCAGCAUGGACUUUGUCCUCACACCCUGUGAAUCGCUGAGACAGGAACACCUGUAAUGAGUGAUGCUGCCUGGAACCCAUGGCCGCUUCGCUAAGUGACUUGGAUUCAGAGCCUGCCCAGUCAGAGGGACGGCGAGGAUCACUCACUGCACCUUGCCCAGCUCCCAGGGUCAGCUGGAGCCUUGCCUGUCCACUCUCGCCCCUGCGACUUGUCCAUUUCAGGGGUCAGCUGGUGUACAAGGUGACAUUGCAGCCAUGUGUGAGACAUGUGACUCGGCUUCGCUUCCUUUUCGGACCUUGGAUGUGGCGCCUUUGGCCUCUCCUUCCCCUUUGUCACGUUGGAAGAACUCGCCAAGACCUCACGGAGCAGCUGCGGAGUUUGUCUGCCGCUCUCACACAAAGGCUGGUCCCGAGCAGCCCCCUGGAGCCCUGGGAGACCUGGCAGUGUCUCAGGGCACAGAGGCCUCCAGGGCACCUGCGGCACCAGAGGAGGAGAUGGGUGAUGCCGUGGGGAAGCGAGGAGACCCAGAAGGCAUGCAGGUGUGCCCUGGCGGAGGCCAGGGUGUGUGCCACUGCCGCAGUGGCGGGCUGAAAGAGAAAGUGCCAUUUGGCGCCGUGGUCACCGUGCCUCUUGGAAAUAAAAUGAAAAGAAAUAAAAAUUGAUAAAAAAGGAAAAAAAAACCUUUCCUAUGACCUGGAGCACCCUUUAAUCCCCAGUGGCCUAUCUGCAGAGCUGGUUGAGUUCACUACCUUGAGAGAUGGAAAAUGUGUGUCUACUGGUGUCCAUGCUGGGUGACUGCUACGAUGUAUCCAUCGACCAUGUCUAUUUUUUUUUUUUUUGUAUUCAAAUCUUCUUUAUUGAAAAGCACUAUUGGAAAUGUCCAGUGAUCAGAUGAGACAGUUUUGGAUACCUAAUAAACAGCAUGGGUACUACAGUGUGUAAUUCGGAAGGAAGUGCUUAGCCCAUCGGGGGAGAUACACACAUCCACAUCACAGUGCCUAAGUUCCGUUCCCGACGCUGGCUCCUGACCCCAGCUUCCCGCCAAUGCCGACCUUGACCCCAGUAACCAGGCUCUUACAACCCACAUGGGAGACCUGUCGGAGUCCCUGCUCCUGGCUUUGGCCCUGGCCCAGCCCCAGCCCCAGCUGUCUGUGGGCAUUUGGAGACAGGACCAGUGAGUGAGAAUGCUCUCUCUCUUUCCUAUCUGCCUUAUCUCUCUGUCUGUCAAAUAAAUAAAGUUUUUUUUAAAAAAUAUACUAUUAUAUUUACUGAGUUCUUGAAUUUUGCUGGGACUGUAGACAGCAUACAAAAACACAUGAGGUGAGGGAUAUGUUAAUUAGCAUCAUUAUAGUCAUCAUCUGACACUGUAUAUGGACAGUCCAGCGAAGCCUCAGGCACUACACCUGCUACACAAUGUUGAUUUGCCAAUUAUACUUCAGUAAAGCUUGGGACACACACGCUACAGGGCAAAAGGAGACAA